GGCCCUUAUUUAAAUGUAGCCAAGAGGAAAACCAAACUAUGUGGAAGUGUUUCCUCCAGCAGUGUCUGUGACAUACAUCCGAGAGUUCUCAUCUGUGUACUGGGAGUUGAUUCCCAGCUGGGCAGACAUGCUCACAAAGGUUGACUAUUUUACCCUGAAAUACUCUUCAAUAUCCCUUGGUAAUCUUAACAGCAUGGAAUUUCCCCUAUACAAACCCUUUAGAGACAGAAAAAAUGAAGAUUAAAUGAGAAAAGUGAGCGAGUGGGAAUGUAAAAGAAAAGAGGUAUCAGUGCACACAUAAGAUGCAUUUGAGUUGUUGAAAGCUGAAAACUCACAAAUUUCAAAGAGCAUUUGCAUAUUCAUUCCACUAAAUGAUAUGCUAAUCCACUUGAUUUGCAUCCCGGUGACCUCCUGUUGCGAAACGCUUCAUGCUUAGAUUCUCCGAAUGAAAGAACAGAAAACAGAACAGAAGGGAAAACAACUUGUUGGGGCCCAGCGGACAGGCUUGCGUGUCUCUGGAAGCGGAGGAUCAUAAGGGACAUAAAAGCGCACUUGUGAUCUUUGAAUGGCAAGAAAUAAAAGGCACAUCAGAGCUGAAGAGCAGCGACAAGAAAACGCUAUAGAAAGUUACUGUGGCGCGCUGUACAGAUGUGAAUGCUGAAGUAAACGAAGUGCAUGACACAUCAGAAAUCAUUUCUACUUCUCAGUCAUCAAAGAGAGCACAUGGAUCCAAAGUAGAGCGACAGAAUGAGGGAUGUAAAGAGAAAAAGGGUUGAAGAGUUAGAGAGGGAGGGAGGGAGGGUGUGUGGGGGGAAGAACAUGACACAAAGUGGCGAAUGAACACGGUGGUUUUGCGAGGUUGGCACGGUGCCAUCCACUCAGCGCCGGUGCCAAAGAGGGCGUGUAGGCAGGGUGGCAUUACAGAGGAGAGAGGAGGAGAGACAGAUAACGAGAGAAAAGAGAGGCAUCAUCCAGCUGCCAAUUCUCCAAACGAGAUGUUGCCGAGCAUUGGAUUCAAAAGUUGGGGCUCUUUGAAGAUCCAUCCGCCAGCUCGACAGCAUGGCAACUGUAAAAUCGCAAAACCCUUCGCCAAAACCUCGUCAUUUCGAUUCCCUCAGGCUACGCCAUCCUGCUGCAUUUCGCCGUCUCCUUUGUGACCGUGCCAGGCUCCAAGUAGGCACAUCCCCCAGAGAGCCAGCAGCACAUGCCCCGGUGUCGAUGCCACUCGACGCGGGUAUGAUGGCAUCUGCCUCGUAUUAAUGGAGAUAUGCGACUUGUCUUGUUAUUCUCGUUGGCACGCACAAACCUUCGGCAGCGUGCCAGGAUCUCUGCGCCGCCGCGUGCCGCUGGGAAGCUGGCGGUGGCUUGGGAAUGGCAGAGUGCCAGCAUGUUCCUGCAGCCCCCGACGCGUGCCACUUGGCAAAGACAAAGAGCCCUAGGGACGAAACACAAAACAAGAUUGAAAAACACAGUGAUCCGACAGCUUAAUUAACACUUGCAGAGUUUGUUGGGUUAAUUAGUGUGACAGAUUUGGUGAGGAGGAAUGUGGCAGGAACACUUGUGUGAACAAAAGUGAUGGGCAAACCAGACUGAAGGAAUGUCGACGGAAGUCAGAGAGCCAGCAGUUAUGCUAACAUUGCUUAACAUUCAAGGAUAAAUGAAAAGUAAAGGAAGAGUAAAGAAAGUAAUGUGAAGUUGGUGGACUGGACAGAAGAAACAACUGAGGAUACAAGCAAACAGGGAGGAGCUAAAGAAAACCACAGGCCUUGACUUAAACAGUGACUCAUCAAAUCGCAACUAUUGUUGUGGUAUACGACUUUUUUUUAUCUACUGCAAAAACUCAGAAAGUACUCCGCAGUGGCUUACACAAAUAUACACUCAGCAGAAGCGAGAGUGAACGUUCAUGAGUACGUCGGGAACACCAAAAGGAUAAAUGACGGCGGGUAUUAGCAUGGUGAAGUUUACCAGAUGGAUGCACAACUUUUGAAAUCUCUCGGUGUGCAGAGCUUUCCAAGACCAGGGAGAGAUUUGUGCUUGAAUACCUGUUCUGAGGAUCCACGAAGCUUCCUGUUGAGUCCGAGAGAAAAUAAUGCCACUCAGAGAGUGAGUGAGAGAAUUCGGUCUCUCGAAGGAUGUGUUUGACAUUGUAGAGGAGUAUAAAUAAUGCAGAUUCUCUCCUCCUCUUCCUUCCCGUGCUUUCCCAAGGAACAGAUUUACAGACGUUUGUGCAUCGAAUCUUUCAUUGACACCGCUCUCGUUAACUAACGGAGGAUUUGUUCCGAAACGGGCAUUGUUUUCAGCGUAACCUUCUAUAAACAAGUUCAAAUUAGCCGUUAACAACCAAACGAAAUGGGACGAUUAAUGUUGUUUUCUCUUGUUUUUUUUUGCAUUUACAUCUUUCUUUGUACCGAUUGCGGACAAUUAUGUACGGAUAUGCUAAUCGUGCUGUAUUAAUGAGGUUUGUAUCGCUGGGAUUCUCGUCUUUACUCCUGUGGGGAUCUUAAUUUUACCUCAUCUUUAUUAUGUAAAUGGAUUAUGCCAAAAACAACUGUGUGCGCACACACACACAUACAAACACACACACAAUAACACAAAAGGGGGCGAGUCAAAGGAAGAGGGAAUAAGGCAACGGUGGGAGGGGGGGGAUAGCGGAAAAUGGAGGAUAUGCUUCCUUACCAGCUUCAACACCAAAACGCAAGAAACUGCCGAGAAAUCUGAAAGGAUCUAUCAACUCAAUGCGUCACAUACCAAGAUGCAGGACUAAUGCGUUGAAUUUUCAGUGCUUUUUUAUUUCUUCUAGAUAUUUCUGCUGUAGCAGUCCUGCCAUGGAGUGACAGAGCCAAGGAUGGGAUUUACUAGAUGAAAAGAGAGAGAGCGAGAGAGAAUGGUUAAUAUCCUGCGCCUAAUCACGGCACAUGAGAUUGGCUGUAUGCAUAUCUCAUUUGCAUCUCAUUAAAUUGCUUGUGCACCUGCAGAGAGA
Molecule: long non-coding RNA, 2980 nt
Organism: Pimephales promelas (fathead minnow)
Lineage: Eukaryota; Metazoa; Chordata; Actinopteri; Cypriniformes; Leuciscidae
Source: RefSeq, a predicted model, not a curated record